Molecule: ribosomal RNA, 497 nt
Filed under: uncultured bacterium
Lineage: Bacteria
Description: partial 16S ribosomal RNA
Rfam family: Bacterial small subunit ribosomal RNA
Source: RNAcentral
GAUGAACGCUGGCGGCGUGCCUAAUACAUGCAAGUCGAGCGAACAGACGAGGAGCUUGCUCCUCUGACGUUAGCGGCGGACGGGUGAGUAACACGUGGAUAACCUACCUAUAAGACUGGGAUAAUUUCGGGAAACCGGAGCUAAUACCGGAUAAUAUAUUGAACCGCAUGGUUCAAUAGUGAAAGACGGUUUUGCUGUCACUUAUAGAUGGAUCCGCGCCGCAUUAGCUAGUUGGUAAGGUAACGGCUUACCAAGGCAACGAUGCGUAGCCGACCUGAGAGGGUGAUCGGCCACACUGGAACUGAGACACGGUCCAGACUCCUACGGGAGGCAGCAGUAGGGAAUCUUCCGCAAUGGGCGAAAGCCUGACGGAGCAACGCCGCGUGAGUGAUGAAGGUCUUCGGAUCGUAAAACUCUGUUAUUAGGGAAAAACAAAUGUGUAAGUAACUAUGCACGUCUUGACGGUACCUAAUCAGAAAGCCACGGCUAACUACGUG